Molecule: long non-coding RNA, 2020 nt
Organism: Mesocricetus auratus (golden hamster)
Lineage: Eukaryota; Metazoa; Chordata; Mammalia; Rodentia; Cricetidae
Exons: 3
Source: RefSeq, a predicted model, not a curated record
AGUAAAAAGCCUAGUAGUCCCUGGAUGUGAAAUCUCACCAAUCUCCACCCUGGAAUGGUCCAUCCUAAAAACUUCCACUCUCUUCCCUAGAAAUUGUAUAUAAGUCCUGUAUCCUGUUCAGUUUGCUGCUGUUUCUCACCAGAGCAGAGACAUCCACUCUCUUGGUUUUUAGUUCAUCCAACGAAUCUCUUGUGUGAGGUUUGUUGUGAGGUUUGACUGUAUGGUGGUAUUCCUAGGCUCCUGGCUGCAAGGAAACCUUUCCAACUGGGCUGUAGGGCUUAUAUUUGGUGUAAUGACUCAAAUAGGCUCUCCUAGUGCCUGCAUUUCCCCUCAUGGUCUAAGCUCCACUGGGACCCUAUCCCUCAUCUCCAGUCCACGUGCAACAGACUCACCUUCUGGCUGACCGAUGGCUCAGCGCUCCAUCCACCAGCAACAAUUAAAAAAGAACAGUGAUGACUGUCAAACAGGACAAACUAACAUAUUGUAAGAGAAGGUAAAAGUCCUCAUGUCGAGAUUGCACAUUGCAACCCAAUAGGAAGAAGAGUCCCAAGAGCAGGCAAAAGAGUCAGAGAUAUGCUCCCACUGUUACAAAUCCCACAAAGAAGGAUCAUUUCUUGAGGGACAGACAACUUUAUAUCACGGAUCUACCACAGCCAGGUUAAGAGAAUGGAAGCCAUUGAUGCCUACAAAUGGACUGUCUCUGCACUGUGAACCUAUUGAAAUUAAGGUUUCAUUGGAUACCUGAGCCUUUCUACUCUCCAACCCUCUAUCUCAUCCUGAUACCUGUGUUUGGCAUAAAUACAGAGUUAUGGUCAACUCCCACCAUCCUUGGGCCUGGACUAGAAACUAAUGAAGACAGAAACAGAGAUGGUAUUAGUUAAUUUAGAGAGAGAAUAUUUAUUGAGUGACAACCCAGGGUGACCAGUGUCUCUGCGUGUCAGUUUACCUUGAGAAUAUCAUAAAGAAGCUCAUUAUAAUUGGAGCAAGGAGAUUGCUAUUCUCUGACACCAGUCUGAGAGAACUUCCAAAGAGGUGUCCUGUGUUUGGGGAUGGCAAAGUCUUGUAAUCAUUGUCCUGGCAAAUGUCAUGAAGUCAUACAUAUAGGCAAAUAUAAGCAACACUUAAUGGCCUCAGCAAGUUGUACUUGCGCGGAUAUGUAUUUGUAUAUGUAUAUAUAUAUAUAUAUAUAUACAUAUAUAUACAUAUGUAUAUAUAUAAUAUCUGCUGAAUAAUUUCAUGUCACAAGUUGAAGUCAUCUGAGAGAAGGGAAUUUCAUACCUCCAUAAAUUUCAUACCUGGAGACAAGAUUUCAGGGCAUUUUCUUUAAUAGUGAUUGAUAGGGGAGUACCCAGUUCACUGUAGUGGUGCUAUCCCUGUGCUGGUGAUGCAGUCUACAGAAAGAUGACUGAACAAACUAUAAUGAAGAAGCCAGCAAGGAGCACUCUUCAGUGGCCUGUGCAUCAACUCCUGUCCUGACUUCCUUUGCCUCAGGGAACUUUGAAGAAAUGACAGAAAGAUUUCUGGUUCUAGAGUCCAGGAGAUCUGUUGAGUUGUGUCUUCUAGAAAUCACAGGAAGCCACACACAUGAAAUUCAAUGUGACUGCCUAAAUAAGACUUCAACAGGGGUAUCAACAAUAGACAUACUGAUAUGUACUGAGGGAUUUUUCUGUAAUUAAUAGUGCUUGAUUCAGCACAAUGAAGACCUGAGAUUGCUUCAUAGAUUGUUUAGAAACAAUACAGGCAACAAGGUAGUUGCUGACUGUGUGCAUUUACGUGGUUUAUAUGUGUAGAGGGUGGAAACAUGUUCAUUUCCGAGGGGUCAAACUUGCCUCACAGAAAUAAAGUGGAAAGUGAUAGAGAAGAUCACACUGACAGGAAGCACUCCAAACAGACAUGUACAUCUGAAGAUUAUACAUGUACAUGUGAGAAACCCACCUCCAUAUACUAACAUUAUUUUGGAAACUUUGACACCAUGAGGGCUAUUGCAAAGAAAUUAAAGGAAUGAUGCUUAUUUCUACAA